Molecule: ribosomal RNA, 495 nt
Filed under: uncultured bacterium
Lineage: Bacteria
Description: partial 16S ribosomal RNA
Rfam family: Bacterial small subunit ribosomal RNA
Source: RNAcentral
GACGAACGCUGGCGGCGUGCCUAAUACAUGCAAGUAGAACGCUGAAGGAGGAGCUUGCUUCUCUGGAUGAGUUGCGAACGGGUGAGUAACGCGUAGGUAACCUGCCUGGUAGCGGGGGAUAACUAUUGGAAACGAUAGCUAAUACCGCAUAAUAGUAGAUGUUGCAUGACAUUUUCUUAAAAGGUGCAAUUGCAUCACUACUAGAUGGACCUGCGUUGUAUUAGCUGGGUGGUUGGGUAACGGCUCACCAAGGCGACCAUACAUAGCCGAGCUGAGAGGGUGAUUGGCCAACCUGGGAAUGAGACACGGCCCAGACUCCUACGGGAAGCAGCAGUAGGGAAUCUUCGGCAAAGGACGGAAGUCUGACCGAAGAACGGCGGGUGAGGGGAGAAGGUUUUCGGAUCGGAAAGGUAUGUUGUGUGGGGAGAACGGGUGGUAGAGUGGAAAGUUCACAUUGUGACGGUAUCUUACCAGAAAGCGACGGCUAACUACGUG